UACAGAGGUCCUAAGCGUUGUUCGGAUUCAUUGGGCGUAAAGGGUGCGUAGGUGGCAGGGUAAGUUGGAUGUGAAAUCCCGGGGCUCAACCCCGGAACUGCAUUCAAUACUGCCCUGCUAGAGUACUGGAGAGGAGAUUGGAAUUCAUGGUGUAGCAGUGAAAUGCGUAGAUAUCAUGAGGAAGACCAGUGGCGAAGGCGGAUCUCUGGGCCUUACCUGACGCUGAGGCGCGAAAGCUAGGGGAGCGAACAGG
RNAcentral lists this ribosomal RNA (253 nucleotides) under uncultured bacterium. Its description in RNAcentral is "partial 16S ribosomal RNA". It matches the Rfam family "Bacterial small subunit ribosomal RNA", at positions 524 to 776 of the family's 1533-position model. The record is from RNAcentral.